UUGAUCCUGGCUCAGGACGAACGCUGGCGGCGUGCCUAAUACAUGCAAGUCGAGCGGAGCACUUGCGAAAAUCCUUCGGGGUAGACGCCUAUGAGUUGACGGCGAACGGGUGAGUAACGCGUGAGUAACCUGCCCUUCAAACGGGGAUAACAGCUCGAAAGGGCUGCCAAUACCGGAUACGAUUACUGCAUCACCUGGUGUGGUAAUGAAAGUGUUAGCGCUUAACGAUGGACUCUCGUCCCAUUAGCUAGUUGGUGAGGUAAUGGCCCGCCAAGGCAACGAUGGCUAGCCGGCCUGAGAGGGUGAACGGCUCACUGGGACCGACAACCGCUAACUCCUCGGAGGCACGUUAGGUAUGCUGAAUCAUUGGCAAUGGCCUGAAACCAUGACGCCCGACUGCGCAGUGAGCGAAUAAGCGUCUGGGGUCUAAAGCUCGUCCUAUGGAGAUAUGACGGUCACCAUAGACGACGCCCGCUACUACUACAUGCCCUCAGCCCCGAGCUAUACGUAGGGGGCAAGCGUGUUCCGUCGGAAUUAUUGGGCAUGUAAAGGGUGCGUAGCAGAUAUGUAAGUCCGAGGAAAUGCUCGGUCAACCGAAGUUGCAUUGAACUGGUAUCUAGAGUUCAGAGAGGGAAAGCGAAUCCUAGUGUGCUGCUGAAUGCGUAGAUAUUAGACGAACACAGUGCGAAGGGCUUCUGACUGUACUGACGUAUGCACUGAAGCUGGCAGCGAACAGGUUAGUACCUGGUGUCCAGCGUAAACAUGGUACUAAUGUGUGGUCACUUCAGUGGCAGUGCCCAGUAACGCAUUAGUACCCGCCGAGUCACGGCGCAAGGCUGAAAUCAGGAAUUGACGGGGCCGCACAGCGAGCUGGAGCAUGGUUUAAUGAAGCUAACGAGACUUACAGGUCUGACAUCCUUUGAUGCGUAUAGAGAUUACCUUUUCUAGUCGAGCAGCAGAGACAGGUGGAUGCAUGGUCGUCGUCAGCUCGUGUCGUGAAGUUAGGGCUUAGUCGCACACGCACCCUACGAUCGUUCUGUAUUAAGGGGCUACUUUAAGUCGGACAUGCGAGUGCAAACCGGCACAGUGGAUGGGGGGCAUGUAGUCAACAUCAUGCCCUUAUGUCCUGGGCUACACACGUGCUACAAUGGCUGGUACAGAUGGAAGCGAAGGAGCGAUCUGGAGCGGAUCCCAAAAAGCCAGUCGUAGUUCGGAUCGCAGGCUGCAACUCGCCUGCGUGAAGUCGGAAUCGCUAGUAAUCUCGGGUCAGCAUACCGUGGUGAAUACGUUCCCGGGCCUUGUACACACCGCCCGUCACACCACGAAAGUCAGAAACACCCGAAGCCGGUGACCUAACCUUAGGGAAGGAGCUGUCGAGGGUGGGGCAGAUGAUU
This 1394-nucleotide ribosomal RNA is filed under the name uncultured Bacillota bacterium. RNAcentral describes it as "bacterial SSU rRNA". It matches the Rfam family "Bacterial small subunit ribosomal RNA". Lineage: Bacteria; Bacillati; Bacillota. The record is from RNAcentral.